UUCCUACGGGGGGCAGCAGUGAGGAAUAUUGGUCAAUGGGCGCGAGCCUGAACCAGCCAAGUCGCGUGAGGGAUGACGGCCCUACGGGUUGUAAACCUCUUUUGUCGGGGAGCAAAUUCCGUUACGUGUAACGGAGUCGAGAGUACCCGAAGAAAAAGCAUCGGCUAACUCCGUGCCAGCAGCCGCGGUAAUACGGAGGAUGCGAGCGUUAUCCGGAUUCAUUGGGUUUAAAGGGUGCGCAGGCGGAGGUGCAAGUCAGCGGUCAAAUUGCGGGGCUCAACCCCGUACUGCCGUUGAAACUGCAU
This 305-nucleotide ribosomal RNA is filed under the name uncultured bacterium. Its description in RNAcentral is "bacterial SSU rRNA". It matches the Rfam family "Bacterial small subunit ribosomal RNA", at positions 336 to 638 of the family's 1533-position model. The record is from RNAcentral.